Molecule: non-coding RNA, 81 nt
Organism: Podarcis lilfordi (Lilford's wall lizard)
Lineage: Eukaryota; Metazoa; Chordata; Lepidosauria; Squamata; Lacertidae
Source: the annotation of a GenBank genome assembly
GGUGGUGGAAGGACCAUAGCUCAAUGGUAGAGCAACUGCUUUGCAUGCAGAAGGUCCCAGGGUCAAUCCCAGGCAUUUCCA